Molecule: long non-coding RNA, 1040 nt
Filed under: Homo sapiens (human)
Lineage: Eukaryota; Metazoa; Chordata; Mammalia; Primates; Hominidae
Description: HSALNT0003867
Source: RNAcentral
CACAAUCAUGGCCCACUGCUCCCCUCUUCUUCUCAGUGCUCUUUGCCCUCUCCUGCUGCGUGCUUCCUCUUCACUCCAGUGCUGGUCUCAAACUCCCGACCUCAGGUGAUCCACCCACCUCAGCCUCCCAAAGUGGUGGGAUUACAGGCAUGAGCCACCGUGCCGAGCCUUCCUUGAAGUUUUUUGUUUGGUUUUGAUUUGUUUUGUUUUGUUUUGUUUUGUUUUGUUUUUGGAGAUAGGGUCUCACUCUGUUACCCAUGCUGGAGUGCAGUGGCACAAUCUUGGCUCAGAGCAACCUCUGCCUCCCAGGCUCAAGCAAUCCUCCCACUUCAGUCUAAGUAGCUGGGACUACAGGCACGUGCCACCAGGCCCAGCUAAUUUUUGUGUUUUGUUAGAGAUGAGGUUUUGCCAUAUUGCCCAGGCUCGUCUUGAACACCGGGGCUCAAGGAAUCUGCCCAUCUUCGCCUCCCAAAGUUCUGAGAUAGCAGGUGUGAGUCAUCAUGCCCAGCCUCCUUGAAGUUUACUAACAAUUGGGAUAACUGAGGGAAGAGAAGUGACAAUUCCACUCAGUCUAUUAGAGGUCUGGAUAUAAGGUAGCCACACAAUAACUCUAACUUGACUUCUAACCAUUCUAUCUUAUUGAUUUGGAGGCUGUCUUCUGCCAGAUUUUUUGUGGCUUGAGAUGAUAUUUUCGAACCCUUCUUUCACUACCUUUCUUACCCUUAAUGUGCCAAGCUUGAAACAGGAUUUGAUUUCCUGAGCUACUUGUUCGCCUUCUGUGCGUCACCAAGUAAUCUGGUUCAUCUUUCGUCUCAUUCAUGUUAUUUUCAAGUGAAACAAGACAUUUUGGGGGUCAAGUCUCUUUGGGUGUUUUGUUUUUAUGUAUAUAAAAAUGGAUUUUGUGUUCCCUUUCCAUGUAAGUACCAACUUAUAUGGAAACUCACAAUCAUAAUGUAAAGAAGAAAUGAAAGCCUGGUGUAUUGUACUUCAAGAUGCCUCCCUGAUGUAUAGAAUCUCCUUGUAAAAUAAAUAAUUGCAUU